Molecule: ribosomal RNA, 467 nt
Filed under: uncultured bacterium
Lineage: Bacteria
Description: partial 16S ribosomal RNA
Rfam family: Bacterial small subunit ribosomal RNA
Source: RNAcentral
GAUGAACGCUGGCGGCGUGCUUAACACAUGCAAGUCGAACGGAAGGGCCAUGCUCUUGCGGGGUGCUCGAUUGGCGAACGGGUGAGUAACACGUGAGUAAACCGCACUUGACUUUGGGAGAACUUUAGGGAAAUGCGGCUAAUACCCGGUAUGAGCUUCUGAUCCAUGUGGGGGGUUGGAAAGAUUCGGUGGUUGGGGAAGGACUCGAGGUUUAUCCGCUUGUUGGUCGGGUAGUGAAUUACCAAGGCUUUGACGGCAAGCCGGCCUGGGAGGGUGACCGGCUACAUUGGGACUGGGAUGCGGCCCAGACGCCUACGGGAGGCAGGAGUGGGAGAUAUAGCGCGAUGGGCGGAGGGCUGAUGGAGCAUCGCCGCGUGCGGGAUGACGGCUUUCGGGGUGUAAACCGCUUGCGACUGACUCGGCGCGUCAGUGAGGGUAAUAGGUAGAGAAGCACCGGCUAACUACGU